UUUGGGCUGCUAAUGAAGGUAAACCAGAUGAAGUUCAAUAAAGACAAUGCAAAGUGCUCCACUUAGAGGAACAUUCAGUUUCACAUAUACAGAAGGGGAAGAGCUGCUAGGAAGGAGUAUGGCAGAAGAGAUCUAGGGGUCAUAGUGGAACCAAAGCUAAAUAUGAG
Molecule: non-coding RNA, 167 nt
Organism: Chelonoidis abingdonii (Abingdon island giant tortoise)
Lineage: Eukaryota; Metazoa; Chordata; Testudines; Testudinidae
Source: RefSeq, a predicted model, not a curated record